GAUGAACGCUAGCGGCAGGCUUAACACAUGCAAGUCGAGGGGUAUUGGUUUUCGGACCAAGAGACCGGCGCACGGGUGCGUAACGCGUAUGCAAUCUACCUUUUGCAGAGGGAUAGCCCCAGAGAAAUUUGGAUUAAUACCUCAUAGUAUAGUACUUUGGCAUCAAGGAACUAUUAAAGUCACAACGGCAAAAGAUGAGCAUGCGUCCCAUUAGCUAGUUGGUAAGGUAACGGCUUACCAAGGCUACGAU
This 250-nucleotide ribosomal RNA is filed under the name uncultured bacterium. RNAcentral's name for it is "partial 16S ribosomal RNA". It matches the Rfam family "Bacterial small subunit ribosomal RNA", at positions 28 to 280 of the family's 1533-position model. The record is from RNAcentral.